GCAAGACGCGGAGCCCCGCGCGCGUCCAGGGCCGGCCGCAGCGCGCGGUGCCGCAUCCCCGGUGCGUGCGCCCCAGCCAGCGACUGGAGCUCCUCGCGCGCGGGUAUGGAGCUCCCGGCGGGACCGGCCACCUCUCCUGGAAGGCAAGGCACGGCGUCUGAAGUCUCUGGCCCGGGUCCGAGUUGAAUGACACUCCGUUAAUGAGGCCCCUCCUGGGCGCCGCUUGGCUCGCAUCUUGGAUCCCUGGUGUGUCCAGGGCAGACGGGCGGCGAAUUUGCGCCACCCCUGGGGAUAGGCUGUGACCCCAAUGUAUCAAGCAGGCCGUGAGGGCGGCCCUGGCGCACGGAUGGAGCUGGGUUGGUCCCUCUCCGAGCCCCCGCUGCGUCCCUCCGGCCCCCCCCCGCCCCGGGGUCCCAGGUCCGGCCCCCUCCAGCUGCGCGCUCCCGCAGAUCCCUUUCCCCACGGGCUGCUUUCUCUUUGCCUGCCGGCGCCAGGGGUCUCCUCCCAGGAAGGUCUUACCUGGCUAUCUCUCUUGCUUGGCAGUAGCCCUCAGGGCACAGACCCCUGAGAUCCGUCCACCAAAGCCGGGGGCGAUGGGGGAUGGGUGGGGGAGGUGGGGUCACAGCCCGCGCCCCUCCAACCCUGGCCCCCACAGGAGCCGAAGGUCGGCCUUUCUUUCCCCUCUCGCCCCUGCCUGAAAAGCCUGCCCGUGGUGGCAGAGGGCCGGGAAGGGGCUCACCCCGGCAACAGGUGCGGCGGGGAGAACUUGACUUUGGAACAGCCGAGGGUACCUUGAGGCGCAUCCCUGCCUUCCACCUGUGCCCUGGAGCCGGCAGCCUGCAGGCAAGGAGGACAAGGAGAUGUGAGCGGACCAAGGCAGCGUGUGUAAUGUCUGUGGAAUGGAACCGGAUGAAGAUGCACCGGCCUCCCACGUGGUGAUGGAUUCCCAGGCGCUGGCUUCCACUCGGUGAAAACCAGGAACACCCCCCACCCCCCUACACACAGCCGGACCCUCUGGUUUCCUCCGUGGAGCGUGGCUGGACCAGACCUGCAUAUUUCGCCGGGAAAUGGUUGCCCUAGCCAGGGUGCUCUUCUGGAUUCGAAUCCCUGAGUGAGACUUCCGGCUCCUCUGCUGGCUCUGGAAGCACCCGGGGACCCGACUUUCCACCCAGACCGCUCGGAAAUCUCGUAGCAUUUUGCUUCCUGGGGACUUCCCUCUGGCACCUGCUUUGUCUGGGUCCAAACUGGAUGGCUGCUGCCCAGCCCUUCGCCAGCCAGCCGGGGCCUCCCCGGCCACCCUGUCAGGCUGUUCUCUCUGCCCCCUCUGGAUGGCCGCAUUGUGACAGAGACCUCCAGGGCUCACCAGAUGUGCAGGUGCCCCGUGGUAUCUUCCAGUCUUCCGUAUGGUGAGAUUAGGGCCGCGUGGUCCUCUGGGCAGUGGACUGUGAGUGAGCCAAGGCACUUGGCAGCGGCUGGUCCACCUCCGUCUGGCUCCUCUCCUGCCUUGGAGGAAAUUCAUUCCCGAUUUUGCAACAGUGAGUUAGCGGAGCCCCACAAAGUGCAGACAGGGAGGGAGAAGAGCUCACCUGAUAAGCAAACAUUGGCUACAGGGGAAUGGGCAGGGCAUCACCAAGGAGAAAGGGAAGCGGUAUUCCCCAGGGCUAGCGGAGCUAAAGGCGGCGAUGACGAUGCAGCGAGCCACCCACGGUCACUGCGGCUGCCGUGGCCUCUCAGGACCUGUGAGUCCGGGUUCAGUCGCCAGCUCUGGAGGUACCACCAGAAGCGGGAAAUGUUUCCUCUCCCAUCCGGACCCUCAAGCUCCCUGCCAGCAGGAUCCAGCCAGCUGCCAGCUAGCAAGGGAGUCUGGCAAGUGUAGUUUGCCGUCUUCCAUCCUGCUCUAGUGCGGAGGAGAGUGUGGAAGGCUGGGGAUGGCGUCGAGAGGCAGCAAGCCAGCAACACCUGGAACACAGAGUGACUGUAAGGUGCAGGGCAGAGCCCUGGCCCCUGUGUUAGGAACGGGGCUGAGCCGCUGGGAUGAAAUGCCGCUGGUGGCAUUGGUUGCCCUGCUCUGUGUGGUGCUGGAGUGGACCCUUUAGUUUCCCUCUGGGAAAAGGUGUAUGGCGAGUGCAUUGGGGAACCCUCCAUGCAGUAGUUCACGUAUGUAUCGACGGGAUUGGGCCGUGGGGUGCCCAGACAUUUGGCCCAACGUUGUCCUGGACAGACUCCCACUUUAGUCAGGGGUCUGAAUAAAGCAGACAGCCCUUUUUAUUGUGGGUGGGCCUCACCCCACCAAAGAAAGACCUGAAUCCAACAGGGAGGCAGAGGCAGAGGGAACUCCUGGGCCCUGACCACUCGGGUGGGGACACGGGUCCUCUCACGCUUCAGACGUGGGUGCUUGGGGGUCCAGCCUGUUGGCUUUCCGACCCACACCACCGGCUCCCCCGGCGCUCAGACCUGCAGACAGGCACAGCAUCACCCGAGGGCCAUCUGGGUUGCCAGCUUGCUUGGUGACAUGGAGGUCCCAGCACUUUUUGGGCUGCACAGCUAUGUGCGCCAGUCUUGGCAAACCUCACUUUCUCUUUCCCGGCAUACAGAGAUGGGUGUUGACACGUAACACGCAUGUCCUUUUGAGUUCUGUAGAGAAGCCUCACACCCCCUCAUGUCUAAAAAUUCUUCGUGUUCACGCCUGAGUGCCCUCCCCCCUGGAAUUCUAAAGGAGAGAAGGACCCGUCCCAGGCCUCUCCCCAGCUUCUGGGCCGUCCCUGGCUGGGAGAAGCCUUGGCUGACCCCUGCCUUCAGCCUCACAUGACCCUCUCCCUGCUGUGUCUGCGUCCAGACCGUCCCUUUGUAGAGCAAUACCAAGCAUAAGGGGUUAAGGCUCACCCUAAGAAUCUUGUGGUUUUUUUUUUUUUUAAUUUAUUUGAAAGUCAGAGCUAGAGAGAGAGAGAGAGAGAGAGAGAGAUCUUCCAUCUGCUGGUUUGCUCCCCAAAUGGCCACAAUGGCUGGGACUGGGGCAGGGCCAGGCUGAAGCCAGGAGUCCAAAACUCCAUCUGGAUCUCCCACGUAGGUUUCAGUGGCCCACGCUUUGGGGCCAUCUUCUGCAGCUUUCCCAGGUGCCUUAGCAGGGUGCGUGCGGAUUGGAAGUGAAUCAGCCUGGAUAGGAACCAGCCAUCAUAUGGGAUGUAGGCAUUGCAGGUGGCUUUGUAACCUGUGGUACCACAAUGCUGCCUCUGACCUUGUCUUUUCAAAAGCUUAUUUAUUUCAAACAUAGAGACACAGAAAGAAAUGUCCUCUCUACUGGUUCACUCCUCGAAUGCCUGUAACAGCUGGAGCUGGGCCAGGUUGAAACCAGAAGCCCAGAACUCAAUCCAGGUCUCCCUCGUGGGUGGCAGAGAUCCAAGUACUGGAGCCGUCUUCCGCUGCCUCCCAGGGUCCAUGUUAGCAGGAAACUGGAAUCAGAAGUGGAGCCAGGACUCGAACCCAGACACUCUGAUAUGUGGGGUCCCAAGCAGUAUGUGCACCCCUGUGCCAAACGCCUACUGACCUCAUCUUUAAGCUUGUCACAUCUGCAAUGACCUCGUCUCCUUAUAAAGUACAGGGAGCGCAGGACUUCGCCAGCAUGAACGGGAGGCAGGUGCAGUCCAGGCUUCAGCAGACCUACGGCCCCACCAGAGGCGCUACACGGACACCAGGGCCUUCAUCGGGAGUGGGGGUGCCUGCCACAGAGACAGUGCUGUCCUGCUCACCUUCUGUCUUCCUUCCCUUCGAUUCAUAUUCCCUUCAUCCUCCCCCAUUUUUUUCCUUUGGCUUUUUAAAAUUAUUUUUUUUAAAGAUUAUUUAUUUGAAAGAGCUACAAAGAGAGAGGGAGACUGGUUGUGUGUAGGGGUGGGUGUUUCACUCCCACGAUGGCUGCAACAGCUGGGACUGGGCCAGGCUGAAGCUAGGAGCUUCUUCCGGGUCUCCACGUGGGCGUGGUACUUGAGCCAUCUUCCACUGGUUUCCUAGGCCAGCAGGGAGCUGGGUCAGAAGUGGAGCAGCCGGGACUCGAACCUGCGCCCAUAUGGGAUGCUGGCAUUGCAGGUAGCAGCUUUGCCUGCUACGCCACAAUGCUGGCCCCUGCUUUUCUAAAUUUUAGAGGCAGAGAAAGAGAGUGCAAUGAUUCAUUGGUUCACUCCUCAAAUUCCUGUAGCAGCCAGGCUGGGAACUCAGUCCCGGUCUCCCCAUGUGGGUGGCAAGGACCCAAAUACUUGAGCCAUCACUGUGCCUCCCAGGGUGCACGUUGACAUGAAGCUAUGGUCGGGAGCCAGGACCAGGACUUGAAUCCAGGUACAAUGAUAUGGGAUGUGGGCAUCUCUACUGUCCCCUUCCAUCAAAGGUAGCGCAGGACAAAGGUCUUUCUGUGGUAUUGCUCCAUGAAUCUUGGUAUCGUACACACGAUGUUCCCCAACCUCCACCACUAUCCUGACCUGCAGCACUGUGGUCUCCAGAUGUGCUCUCAUGAAGGAAACGCGGGGCGCUGUGGUGACAUGGGUGAAGACGCCGCCUGCAAUGCCAGCAUCCCAUAGCCAGUAUCGUUGCUGGUUCGAGUCCUGGCAGCUCCAUUUCCAACACGGCUCCCUGCUAAUGUGCCUGGGAAUGGCCCAAGUCUCCUGCCACCCGUGUGGGAGAGCCGGAUGGAGUUCCAGGCUCCUGGCUAUGUUGUGGCUAUUUGGGGGGUGGGGGUGGGAACCAGCAGGUGCAAGCACACUCUCUCCCCUUCUCUCUUUACUUCCCUCUGUAACUCUUUCAAACUCUUUUAUAUUGGAAAAAGAAAAAAAGGAAAGAAAGGAAGGGAGGGAGGGAGGAAGGAAAAGAAAACCCAAGGGUUGGCGUUCUGCAGUGGGUUCGUGGCUGGCUGACGAGACCCUGGAUGGUUAGUCAUUUCUGGACUUUCCUUGUCAAAACAAAACUACCAACCAUGUGUGUGUGUCCAUCCUAAGGGAACUGAAAACACGUCCACACAAAAACUUGCACAUGGGUGUUUACAGUGGCAGUAUUCCUAAGAGCCAAAAAGGGCAAACAACCCCAAUGUCUGUCACCUGCUAAAUGGACAAACCACUUGGCCAUUACAAAACAGAAUCCUUUUUGUAAGAUUUAUAUAUUUGGGGUCGGCGCUGUGGCAUAGUAGGUUAAGUCUCUGCUUGUCACACUGGCAUCCCACGUGGGCACCAGUUUGAAUCUCAGCUGUUCCACUUCUGAUCCAGCUCCCUGCUAAUGCUCCUGGGAAAGCAGUAGAAGAUGGCCCAAGUCCUUGGGCCCCUGCACCCACAUGGGAGACCCAGCAAGAAGUCUCCUGGUUGGCUCCUGGCUCUGGAUUGUCCCAGCUCCAGCCAUCGUGGCCAUUUGGGGAGCACCACCACACUGGUCCUAGGCGUCAUGUAUUGGGACAGGCUAUCCCGUGGAUGAACCUUGACAUGCUAAGUGAAGCAAGGCCAGUGCAAAGCCAUAUAAUGCUAGGAAAUGUCAAUCACCAAGGAGACAAAAAGGUUAGUGGUCGCCAGAAGGGGCAGUGAGUGCUAAUGGGUGUGGGGUUUCUUUUGGGGCUGACAAGAAAUUCUAAGACAGACAAUGAUGGUGAUUACACCCUGAGUAUACAAAAAAUUACUGUAUUAUAAUUUAAAUGAAUUGGGUAUGUGGGGCUGGCAUUGUGGCAUAGUGGAUAAAGCCACUGCCUGCAAUGCCAGCAUCCCACAUGGACACUGGUCCAUGUCCCAGAUGCUCCACUUCCCAUCCAGCUCCCUGCUAAUGCGCCUGGGAAAGCAGCGGAAGAUGGCCCAAGUCCCUGGGCCCCUGCACCUACGUGGGAGACCCGGAUGAAGCUCCUGGCUUUGUCCAGGCCCAUGCCCCGGCCAUUGUGGCCAUCUGGGGAGUGAACUAGUGGGUGGAAGUUCUGUGUCUGUGUAACUCCUUCAAAUAAAUAAAUUU
Molecule: non-coding RNA, 5964 nt
Organism: Oryctolagus cuniculus (rabbit)
Lineage: Eukaryota; Metazoa; Chordata; Mammalia; Lagomorpha; Leporidae
Source: RefSeq, a predicted model, not a curated record